This 3052-nucleotide long non-coding RNA is filed under the name Nicotiana benthamiana. RNAcentral's name for it is "long non-coding RNA (NBEN_LNC008580)". Lineage: Eukaryota; Viridiplantae; Streptophyta; Magnoliopsida; Solanales; Solanaceae. The record is from RNAcentral.
CUCAUUAUCAUGAUCUCUAUCACGAUGACAAUCUCAAAAUUUAAUCAAGGACCAUCAAAUUAAUCAAACAAUUAAGAAUAAUGAUAAAAGAAUAUCAAAUACCAUAUAUUUUAUAUCAAAUAACGUUCAGAAUAAUAUGUUCAAAUCAUCAAAUAUGAAGUCACGAGCCAUUUUUGAGAUUUCAUUUUUCAUUAAGAUUUCUGUCAAUAUGAUACAGUAAGCCAUUAUAUCAACAAACUAUAGUAAGUCACAAACUCUGAACAGCAAGGUCUAUACUCAACAAAAUCUAUCAAAUUCCAAAAAACAAAACCACAAGAAAUUAUAUCAACAAGCUACAGUAAACCAACUUGAAUCAAAAAGAAAUUGUAUCAAUAAAUGACAUUCUCUUCACCUUCUAUCGACUAGUCAGCCAACUUGAAUCCGGCUCUUCCUUUUCGUCAAGUAAAUGUUGGACAUGAAACUUUAUCGACCGUUGAAGCCAAACCUAAAAAGAAAUAUAUAUAAUAUUAAAAAUUAAAAAUCACUAUUAACAGUACAAGUCAUUUAAAAAAUCACUUACCAUUAUUUCGUUCCAUAAUCAAGUGCAAGCACUCAUUAAAGCCUUCAAAGAAGUAGAAUAAAGUCUACUACAAUAUGGACUAAUCAAUCUCCCACUAGUACUAAAUGCAAAUUCCGAAGAAACGAUAGGGACAAGAAUGGCUAAGAAGUCACGAGCCAUUUUUUUUAAAGUAAACAAUUAUAAUCCAUUUGUCUUCAACCAACUUAAAGUGUCAAAUGAUGGUGUGCGGGGUAGCAUAUUUUCUUCUAAAUAAAAAUUCAAUUCCGAUCUUUGUCCAUGUUCGAGCUACUCGACGCGUCAAACCUAUCAAAACUAGAAAGUCGGUCACCCUCAACAUGACCAACAACUUCACUAGAACUAAUCAAAGAAUUUAAACUUUCCACCAAGGUUUUCAAUUCUAGCUUAAUAUCACAAACUUUAGAAAAAAAUUGAAUAGAAGUGGGAUAUUGAGUCCCUAAUAAUUCUUAAAUAAUAUGGUAGAAAAGCUUUAAUGUAUCACGAACUUCUUUUGCUGCACUCCACUGACCUUCGGUUGGAAACAACGAUAACUACGGUCAUUCUUCCUGAAGACCCUAUUCAAUAUAAGACACGGUCAUGCACAUUAUUAAUACUAUAUUGUGUCCUUGCAUAAUCAAACUCAAGAUAUAUGUGGUACAUCACACAUGUAACAUUCAACCCAUUAACAAUAAAUUCCUUUUACAAAGUUUCUCAUUUAACAAAGUUUUCAUCAUAGCAUUGUUUGUGCUACAAUUAUCAACUGUAGUUGUUGAAAUUCUUCUUACAAGACCCCACUCUAACAAGCAAUUAUGCAACGCACUACACAAAGUAUCCUUAUCAUGUGGAGCAGGAACAUAAAUAAUUUAAGAAUAUGGCUUUGAAGUCUCUAUGAAUCAUCAAUAAAAUGCGUAGUAAUAACCAUGAACCCUUGUUGAUGUUGUCCGAAGUCCACAUAUCAGUUGUUAUUGCAAUUUUACUUGUGAGUUUUUCUAAUAACAUAGAAGUUUUUUUUAUUUCAAAUUGCCGAAAUAUUUCUGUAUAUCAUUCUUGAUUGUGAUCCUAGACACCAUUUUGAACAACGAUUGGAGACUAGCAACAAACUUUCUAAAUCCUACAUAAUCAACAAUGAACAAUGGAUACUUGUGCAAAAUGAUAGCAUAAGCAAGUUCUCUGCGUGAAAUAUCUUGAUCAAAAUAUUAUUGUUGGCUACCAUUACCCCCGAACUACCCUCAUUGUCUAUGUUACUUGGUUUUUUGCGAUAUCGACUAUGGAUAUGAUCUAACAUAGACGAUGUCCCACAAUUUCUUAUUGAUUUGAUAUGAGUAUUACAAUACUUACAAACACCAAAAUGAACACGAUUAAUCAUCACCGCUUUAAAAUGCUUCCAUGCGUCAGAAACAAGUUUCUCUUCCUAGUUUCAUCAAUAAGUUCAAUAGUAACUUCAUCGGCUUGCAUAGGCAAUUGACUCUCACUCUCUAUAGGAAAAGUACAAGAAGAUGAAUCAACCGGAUUCUCUUCAUUUUAAGAAACCAUACUUUUUUAUAAAAAAAUAAGCUAAAUUAAUAUUAUGAGACAUUUCUAAGUGCGCGUGAAAAAUGAAAAAAAAAUCAGUUAAGCAGUUUAUGAUAGAAAUUAUAUAAAAUGCAUCCCAAAGCAGUUUAUGACAGAAACAUGACAGCAACUUUAAUUAUACUUCAAAGGAGACAAUUUAUUACUGGAAGAUUUCGCCAAAAAAAGUUACUCUACAGACGUCUGCUAUGUCAUAAAUCUUAUAGCAGAUACUUAUGCACAAUGUGUUAAUUUGUAGCCUAACAUUAAAAACAAGAAAGUAAUUUUAUGAUCUGAAAGAAUGGAGUCUUAAUUUGUAGUUUAACUUUGUAGGGAUUAGUGAACGAGUUUCAUAUUCCUAAAUCCGAUGACCCGAAGUUCAGAGAAAUAGUAAUUCCAUUGGCUUAACACAAAUGGUCUACUUGGAAUCAUAUUUACCUUUGGCCUUCUCUACACAGCCUUAGAGAGCAGGAAAGUAAAGUCAUGGUUGUACGGCCCAGGUUUGUCACUUCAUCAAAUAGAGGUCUUUUAUCACUGAUGCCCAUAACGUGUUUGAUAAAAUUUUCCAUAGGAAAAUCGAAAAUGCAAAGUUUUAAACUAAAAUUGAAUAGGAAUUCCACAACAAAGAUAAAACCCAAGAACUUAAUCCAAGAUUACUAGAACUAGAAAAUGGAGCUACAGUGAGAAAUAGAAUUCAGAAAGGAAAGGGGACUCACAAUCCUUGAUAAACCACAGAAUAACGACCUUCACUGAUAAUUGAAAGCUGCUGUAAAUUUUGUUGAUUAUCGAGGAGAGGACGAAGGAGAGUCUAAGAGAGAUGAGCCGUAAAAGAGUGAGAGAGCAGUUGACUAGGUUAAUAGAGUGAAAUUGGGACUAGGGUUUUUAUAUGUAGCCUUUAUGUCUGUUAGUUCAAAAAAUUAAAUCGCCACCCGCGACUCACCCCGUCCC